CAGUCGCCACGGGAAUACGUAGGGGGCGAGCGUUGUCCGAAGUUACUGGGCGUAAAGAGCGCGUAGGCUGGUCUUUAAGUGAGUGGUGAAAGGUUCGGGCUCGACCCGGACACUGCCUUUCAUACUGGGGACCUUGAGUGUGGGAGAGGCGAGUGGAAUGGUCGGUGUAGCGGUGAAAUGCGUAGAUAUCGGAAGGAACACCUGUGGCGAAAGCGGCUCACUGGACCAUUUCUGACGCUGAUGCACGAAAGCUAGGGGAGCAAACAGGAUUGGAUACCCCGGUAGUCCCUGUCUCUUAUAC
RNAcentral lists this ribosomal RNA (301 nucleotides) under uncultured bacterium. Its description in RNAcentral is "partial 16S ribosomal RNA". It matches the Rfam family "Bacterial small subunit ribosomal RNA", at positions 509 to 807 of the family's 1533-position model. The record is from RNAcentral.